CUCCGGCCCGCGUUGUAAUUUGCAGAGGAUGCUUUUGGCGAGGUGCCUUCCGAGUUCCCUGGAACGGGACGCCAUAGAGGGUGAGAGCCCCGUAUGGAUGGACACCAGACCUGUGUAAAGCUCCUUCAACGAGUCGAGUAGUUUGGGAAUGCUGCUCUAAAUGGGAGGUAAAUCUCUUCUAAAGCUAAAUACCGGCCAGAGACCGAUAGCGCACAAGUAGAGUGAUCGAAAGAUGAAAAGCACCUUGAAAAGGGGGUUAAACAGUACGUGAAAUUGUUGAAAGGGAAGCGCUUGUGACCAGACUUGCGCCGGGCAGCUCAUCAGGGGUUCUCCCCUGUGCACUCUGCCCGGCUCAGGCCAGCAUCGGUUCUCGUGGGAGGAUAAGAACAGUGGGAACGUGGCCCCCUCUCGGGGGGGUGUUAUAGCCCACUGUACGAUACUCUCGUGGGGACCGAGGUUCGCGCUCCGCAAGGAUGCUGGCGUAAUGGUCAUCAGCGACCCGUCUUGAAACACGGACCAAGGAGUCGUCCAUUAGAGCGAGCGUUUGGGUGUAAAACCCGCACGCGUAAUGAAAGUGAACGCAGGUGAGAGCUUCGGCGCAUCAUCGACCGAUCCUGAUGUCUUCGGAUGGAUUUGAGUAAGAGUUUUAACGGACGGACCCGAAAGACAGUGAACUAUGCUUGUAUAGGGUGAAGCCAGAGGAAACUCUGGUGGAGGCUCGCAGCGGUUCUGACGUGCAAAUCGAUCGUCAAAUAUGAGCAUGGGGGCGAAAGACUAAUCGAACUGUCUAGUAGCUGGUUACCGCCGAAGUUUCCCUCAGGAUAGCAGUGUUGUUCUUCAGUUUUAUGAGGUAAAGCGAAUGAUUAGGGACUCGGGGGCGCUUAUUAGCCUUCAUCCAUUCUCAAACUUUAAAUAUGUAAGAAGCCCUUGUUACUUAAUUGAACGUGGGCAUUCGAAUGUACCAACACUAGUGGGCCAUUUUUGGUAAGCAGAACUGGCGAUGCGGGAUGAACCGAACGCGGGGUUAAGGCGCCAGAGUGUACGCUCAUCAGACACCACAAAAGGCGUUAGUACAUCUUGACAGCAGGACGGUGGCCAUGGAAGUCGGAAUCCGCUAAGGACUGUGUAACAACUCACCUGCCGAAUGUACUAGCCCUGAAAAUGGAUGGCGCUCAAGCGUACCGCCCAUACCCCGCCCUCAGGGUAGAAACGAUGCC
RNAcentral lists this ribosomal RNA (1217 nucleotides) under Cytospora fuckeliana. Its description in RNAcentral is "eukaryotic LSU rRNA". It matches the Rfam family "Eukaryotic large subunit ribosomal RNA", at positions 131 to 1373 of the family's 3401-position model. The record is from RNAcentral. Lineage: Eukaryota; Fungi; Ascomycota; Sordariomycetes; Diaporthales; Cytosporaceae.